RNAcentral lists this ribosomal RNA (838 nucleotides) under Pratylenchus penetrans. Its description in RNAcentral is "SSU rRNA". It matches the Rfam family "Eukaryotic small subunit ribosomal RNA", at positions 37 to 876 of the family's 1831-position model. Lineage: Eukaryota; Metazoa; Nematoda; Chromadorea; Rhabditida; Pratylenchidae. The record is from RNAcentral.
UCAAAGAUUAAGCCAUGCAUGUAUAAGUAUAAACGCUUUAAGCGUGAAACCGCGAACGGCUCAUUACAACAGCUAUAAUUUACUUGAUCUUGACAAACUUACAUGGAUAACUGAGGUAAUUCUUGAGCUAAUACAUGCACCAAAGCUUUGACCGUAAGGGAAGAGCGCAUUUAUUAGAACAAAACCAAACGGCUUCGGCUGUUCCCAGUUGAAUCAGAAUAACUCAGCUGAUCGUACGGUCUUGCACCGACGACGUGUCUUUCAAGUAUCUGCUUUAUCAACUUUCGAUGGUAGGGUAUCUGCCUACCAUGGUGGUGACGGAUAACGGAGGAUCAGGGUUCGACUCCGGAGAAGGGGCCUGAGAAAUGGCCACUACGUCUAAGGAUGGCAGCAGGCGCGCAAAUUACCCACUCUCAGAAUUUGGAGGAGGUAGUGACGAGAAAUAACGAGGUUGAUCUCUUCUGAGGCCAACCAUCGGAAUGGGUACAAUUUAAACCCUUUAACGAGUAUCUAUGAGAGGGCAAGUCUGGUGCCAGCAGCCGCGGUAAUUCCAGCUCUCAAAAUGCAUAGAAUUAUUGCUGCGGUUAAAAAGCUCGUAGUUGGAUCUGCAGCCGGAGCUCCGGUCCAUCUUCGGAUGUGUACUGGAUGUCUUCGGCUUUCUGACAGUGUUCGGCUCUGUGCCUCUAACCAGGUGUGGAUGUCCGAUACUGUAAGUUUACUUUGAAUAAAUCAGAGUGCUCUAAACAGGCGUUUUGCUUGAAUGAUUGUGCAUGGAAUAAUAGAAGAGGAUUUCGGUUCUAUUUUAUUGGUUUUAUAGACUGAGAUAAUGGUUAACAGA